CAUAUAUCAAGCUAUCAAUAAAUGUUUGCCAGAGAAGUCAAAUGGCCUUGGAACCAAGAACCUGCAGCUUUAAAUAAGGAAGCUGUGUAAUUUGAAAGUGAAGAUCUGCUUACUACUUCUACUAAAUCACCAAAAUACCACAGAAUAGUUUUAUGCAAAUAACCCUCAAAAGAAAGGAGAACGCCUCGAGUCUGGCUGUGGAUUAUCCACUUGUCAACCAGAACUCUUAGGUUCAGCAGGACACAACGCUCUCGUCAGCUGAGGAAGAUCUGUAACUCCAAAGAAAGCAGAAAGGAGGCAGCUGUAAAGACGAGAAAUCAGUGAAAUAGAAAACAGAUAAACGAUAGAAAAAAUAACAUAUACAAUAAAUUUUGAACGCAUAACAAAAUCGAUAAAGCCUACAUAAGCUGAUCAAGAAAAAAAAGAAAAAUUACCAAUAUUAGGAAUAAAUGUGUGAAUAUACUAGCGAGGCUACAGGUAUAAUGAGCAACUUUAUGUUAAUAAAUUCAACAACCAGAUGAAAUUCCUGAACAAUACAACUUACUAAAACAGAAGACACAAGAAGAAAUAGGAAAUUUUAUUAGCCCUGUAUCUAUUAAAUAAAUUGAAUUUGUUAUUGGAAUCUUUGCUCAAACACAACCUCAGUGUCAGAUGGGUUCACUGAGAAACUGUUAAACAUUUACCUAGGAAAAGACAUCAUCCUUACACAAAUGCUUUCAAAAACAUAAGAGGAAGAAGCACUUCGCUAUGUGUUUUAUGAGGCCAGUAUGAUCCCAAUACUAAAUCUGACAGAGACAUUUCAACGAAAGAAAAUUAAAACACUAGUCAUGUCAAACUGGCCACCGAGUUUAGUUUCCUUUCCACACUCCCAACAGCCAGACAAGCUUUCCUGAACUGGGGGGAGGAGAGGGAAGAGCAGGCUGGCUGACUAGUGGGUGAUAAUAUCAAACUUUUGAGCAACCCCCCACUGAAUGUGGAAGAUAAUGCAGUCCAAACUGAUUUUCCUCAGGUUCCUUCAAGAUCUAAACAGAAGCCAGGAGUGGGUAAAGCAAUGUAAGAAAUGUGACUUUGAAGCACCUGAUCUGCUAAACAAACAUUAUUGCCAAAUUCUCCGAGAAACCUAUGGUUUGUAGAACGGGUACUUAUAAGAGAGUUGUCUGAGAUUAUGCUAAGCCAGCAGGAGUUGAUUUCACUAGACAUCUGAACAAUCCCCAUAGCCGACAAUGAAAAUGAAUAAAAUAAUUGAGUGACGAUGAAAUCAGAACAGAGGAAAAACAUGGUAAAACUUCUAGACAUGAGCAAUCACAGAAAUAAACAACGGCAAUACUCAGAACUCCAACUCAGAGGAAGAAGGUAAAGAGUAAGAUGAAGACAUUUUAUCCUUAAACUUUGCAGAGAAUGAAAACAAAGAGCAGCGGAAAUCUUUAUUUGAAGUUUGAGUCUUAUAAAGCAUGAAGUCUGGAUUAACGUGAAACCGACAAAAUCUCCAAAGAUCUCUCUUCUCCUUAGGAUGUUCAAGCACUGCUGGAGUGCAGGAUACCUUCUGGCGAGGCAGUUCUGAGAAAGUGCUUCCAGACAACAGCAGCUGGCACAUCAGUCCUUUUGAAAACACAUCAGAAACAGGUGCUGGAGCCUGCUUCCAUGGGAAAGACACAGGGAAAUGAGAAACUCAUCUCUCCUCCUUUAUCACUGAUAACGAGGGGGACAUGCCGGGGGAAGAGUAAUCCCCAGUGUUGGUGAGGUUCACCGAUGAAUAUCAAGGCCAGGUAGAGGAAUACAGGCUUUCCACUUUCUGAAGCUGAUACAGAAAUUUUGGCUGUGAAAUUUCACAAUAUGAUAACGGAGGAGGGAGGGACAAACAAGGAGCCCUGAUGUGGUCUGGCUCAGAUUAUGUCUAGUGGACUUUCUCUCAAACGCAAGUCAUGGUAACUAGACUUUUAGAGAAAUAACCCCAAGAUAGCUACACAGUCUAUUCUUCCUCUGCCUUAAACACAAAGUUGUCAAAAGCAGUGUCUGUUGGGAGUUCCUGUAGUGGCUCAGUGGUUAACGAACCCAACUGGCAUCCAUGAGGAUGCGGAUUCAAUGCCUGGCCUCGCUCCGUGGGUUGAGGAUCUGGCGUUGCCAUGAGCUGUGAUUGUAGGUUGCCAAUGCAGCUCGGAUCUGGCGUUCCUGUGGCUGUGGUGUAGGCCAGCAGCUGUAGCUCCAAUUAGACCCCUAGCCUGGGAACCUCCAUAUGCCGUGGGUGCAGACUUAAAAAGACCAAAAAAAAAAAAAAAAAAAAAAAAAAAAA
This 2290-nucleotide long non-coding RNA is filed under the name Sus scrofa (pig). RNAcentral's name for it is "lncRNA (ENSSSCG00045037970.1)". The record is from RNAcentral. Lineage: Eukaryota; Metazoa; Chordata; Mammalia; Artiodactyla; Suidae.